GACGAACGCUGGCGGCGUGCUUAACACAUGCAAGUCGAACGGAAAGGCCCUGCUUUUGUGGGGUGCUCGAGUGGCGAACGGGUGAGUAACACGUGAGUAACCUGCCCUUGACUUUGGGAUAACUUCAGGAAACUGGGGCUAAUACCGGAUAGGAGCUCCUGCUGCAUGGUGGGGGUUGGAAAGUUUCGGCGGUUGGGGUUGGACUCGCGGCUUAUCAGCUUGUUGGUGGGGUAGUGGCUUACCAAGGCUUUGACGGGUAGCCGGCCUGAGAGGGUGACCGGCCACAUUGGGACUGAGAUACGGCCCAGACUCCUACGGGAGGCAGCAGUGGGGAAUAUUGCACAAUGGGCGGAAGCCUGAUGCAGCAACGCCGCGUGCGGGAUGACGGCCUUCGGGUUGUAAACCGCUUUCGCCUGUGACGAAGCGUGAGUGACGGUAAUGGGUAAAGAAGCACCAGCUAACUACGUG
RNAcentral lists this ribosomal RNA (468 nucleotides) under uncultured bacterium. RNAcentral describes it as "partial 16S ribosomal RNA". It matches the Rfam family "Bacterial small subunit ribosomal RNA", at positions 28 to 507 of the family's 1533-position model. The record is from RNAcentral.